Pelobates cultripes (western spadefoot toad) is the source of this 676-nucleotide non-coding RNA. The record is from the annotation of a GenBank genome assembly. NCBI's taxonomy places the organism in Eukaryota, Metazoa, Chordata, Amphibia, Anura, Pelobatidae.
GCAAUUUAAGAGACUGUAUGUAAUUUGCCUAAAACAGGAAUGACCUGUUUCUCCUAUUUCUUAUUCUUGAUGUCAAAUAGACUGUUACAAGUUCCUAAUUAAGGAGUUACCUUGUUUAUUUAUUUCUGCUAAACACUAUUUUCUUUGAAGCAAUACUAAGCAAGAUUACCAUUGCUUAAGAAUUACUAUUUCCAAUUCGUAUUGCUACAGAAGAUUGCCAAAGUUAAAUUACUUAAUUUCAAUAAAUUAUAUUUUCUUAAAGUGACAGUAUCAAAUGUAUUCAUUCACCUGCGGUUGAGUUCCAAAUUAAGUUUUCCUAAAGAAUUACACAGGGUCUCAAUCUCGCUGACAUGCUGAAGCGUUACAGCAACUGGUGUCUCCUGGAUUCCAGUCACUGCCUCUAUGAGAGAUAGUCGAGACCCCGCCACACGGAAGAGUUAGCAGCGAUGCACCCGAGUACCAAAGAAACCAGAGAGCUGUCUUCUGGAACGCAGGAGUCACAUGUUCUAUUGCUUGCUGGGAGGAUCUGUACAUAAGGAGGUUGCUUUUUCCCUACCAAUAAAUUUCUGUCAUUACGGAAAGCUGCCUUGGCUGAUUUCUUGGCCCACACUGAUUUAGAGCCAUUGUAGUUACAGCAGGCCUCACUGCUCUCUUUUUGUGAGUUUUAUGCACUCGC